This 103-nucleotide small RNA is filed under the name Sinorhizobium meliloti 2011. RNAcentral describes it as "putative ncRNA". The record is from RNAcentral. Lineage: Bacteria; Pseudomonadati; Pseudomonadota; Alphaproteobacteria; Hyphomicrobiales; Rhizobiaceae.
GUCUCGAUAUGCCGUACUGUUGAACCAAAUGUUCGACGGCGAGAUCGGCUGCUUCUCGAGUCUUGAAAGUGGCUCGUAUGGUAGUGCUGCUGUCGUCGGCCAU